This 960-nucleotide ribosomal RNA is filed under the name 'Vicia faba' stunting phytoplasma. RNAcentral describes it as "bacterial SSU rRNA". It matches the Rfam family "Bacterial small subunit ribosomal RNA", at positions 283 to 1250 of the family's 1533-position model. The record is from RNAcentral. Lineage: Bacteria; Bacillati; Mycoplasmatota; Mollicutes; Acholeplasmatales; Acholeplasmataceae.
GUAGCUGGACUGAGAGGUUGAACAGCCUCAUUGGGACUGAGACACGGCCCAAAGUCCUACGGGAGGCAGCAGUAGGGAAUUUUCGGCAAUGGAGGAAACUCUGACCGAGCAACGCCGCGUGAAUGACGAAGUACUUCGGUAUGUAAAGUUCUUUUAUCAAGGAAGAAAAGCAAAUGGCGAACCAUUUGUUUGCCGGUACAUGAUGAAUAAGCCCGGGCUAAUUAUGUGCCAGCAGCCGCGGUAAGACAUAAGGGGCAAGUGUUAUCCGGAAUUAUUGGGCGUAAAGGGUGCGUAGGCGGUCUAGUAAGUCAGUGGUGUAAUGGCAACGCUUAACGUUGUCCGGCUAUUGAAACUGCUAAACUUGAGUUAGAUAGAGGCGAGUGGAAUUCCAUGUGUAGCGGUAAAAUGCGUAAAUAUAUGGAGGAACACCAGAGGCGUAGGCGGCUCGCUGGCUCUUAACUGACGCUGAGGCACGAAAGCGUGGGGAGCAAACAGGAUUAGAUACCCUGGUAGUCCACGCCGUAAACGAUGAGUUCUAAGUGUCGGGUUAAACCGGUACUGAAGUUAACACAUUAAGUACUCCGCCUGAGUAGUACGUACGCAAGUAUGAAACUUAAAGGAAUUGACGGGACUCCGCACAAGCGGUGGAUCAUGUUGUUUAAUUCGAAGAUACCCGAAAAACCUUACCACGUCUUGACAUGUUUUUGCAAAAUGAUAGUAAUAUCGUGGAGGUUACCAGAAACACAGGUGGUGCAUGGUUGUCGUCAGCUCGUGUCGUGAGAUGUUAGGUUAAGUCCUAAAACGAGCGAAACCCUUAUCGUUAGUUGCCAGCACGUUAUGGUGGGGACUUAAACGAGACUGCCAAUGAUAAAUUGGAGGAAGGUGAGGAUCACGUCAAAUCAGCAUGCCCCUUAUGACCUGGGCUACAAACGUGAUACAAUGGCUGUUACAAAGGGUAGC